Non-coding RNA from Taeniopygia guttata (zebra finch), 45 nucleotides. NCBI's taxonomy places the organism in Eukaryota, Metazoa, Chordata, Aves, Passeriformes, Estrildidae. The record is from Rfam.
UCGACGGCUCUUUUAAGAGCCAUCAACAUUUUCGUAAACGGGCUG